This 294-nucleotide long non-coding RNA is filed under the name Prunus persica (peach). RNAcentral describes it as "long non-coding RNA (PPER_LNC006564)". The record is from RNAcentral. Lineage: Eukaryota; Viridiplantae; Streptophyta; Magnoliopsida; Rosales; Rosaceae.
GAGGACAAGAACAAAUUACAAAAUAUGAAAAAUGAUCUUAUCUCAUCUGUAACCAUGCACACCUCAUAUCUGCCCAAAUCACCAGUCAAAUAUGCUUUUUAAGUUUUUAUCAUGACAUAAAUAAAAUAAAACAUGAUUUGCCGAAAGUAGUGUGUCCACAAGUCAAUUAGUCGCCCGACACUUCAAUUUGGACUGGUUGACUGGAGAGUCCAACUCUUUGUUAGUAGCUCGAAGCAGCAGUACCCUAAUUACCAUUUGUAAUAAAACAUGUCAUUUCAAUUAAAAAUAAUUGGG